Molecule: ribosomal RNA, 438 nt
Filed under: uncultured bacterium
Lineage: Bacteria
Description: bacterial SSU rRNA
Rfam family: Bacterial small subunit ribosomal RNA
Source: RNAcentral
AAUACCGAAUAUUGUCCGGAGCCGUGAAGGGUUCCGGGGAAAGGGAGGGCCUCUGAUACAAGCUUUCGCCUUAAGAUGAGCCCAUGGCCCAUCAGCUAGUUGGUAGGGUAAAGGCCUACCAAGGCUACGACGGGUCGCUGGUCUGAGAGGACGACCAGCCACACUGGCACUGAGAUACGGGCCAGACUCCUACGGGAGGCAGCAGUGAGGAAUAUUGCGCAAUGGGGGAAACCCUGACGCAGCAACGCCGCGUGUGGGAAGAAGGCCUUCGGGUCGUAAACCACUUUUGCACGGGACGAAAAAGGGAUAUCGAACAAAUAUCCCCGAUGACGGUACCGUGAGAAUAAGCCACGGCUAACUCUGUGCCAGCAGCCGCGGUAAGACAGAGGUGGCAAGCGUUGUUCGGAAUUACUGGGCGUAAAGAGUCUGUAGGUGGUU